UAGUCCACGCAGUAAACGAUGAGUGCUAGUUGUCGGGAUUUUUCUCGGUGGCGAAGCUAACGCGUUAAGCACCCCGCCUGGGGAGUACGGCCGGCAAGGCUAAAACUCAAAGGAAAUUGACGGGGACCCGCACGAAGCAGUGGAGCAUGUGGUUUAAUUCGAUGAUACGCGAGAAACCUUACCAGCUCUUGAAUCCUGAUUACGAUUUUCAGAGAUGAAUUUUUCAGUUCGGCUGGAUCAGUGACAGGUGUUGCAUGGCUGUCGUCAGCUCGUGUCGUGAGAUGUCAGGUUAAGUCCUAUAACGAGCGCAACCCCUACCGUUAGUUGCUAGCAGGUCAUGCUGAGGACUCUAAACGGGCUGCGGGUGCAAACCGUGAGGAAGGUGGGGACGACGUCAAAUCAUCACGGCCCUUACGUCCUGGGCCACACACGUGCUACAAUGGCCGGUACAGAGGGAAGCCGACCACCGUAAAGUGGGCGCGGAUCUAUAAAACCGGUCACAGUUCGGAUCGGGGU
This 516-nucleotide ribosomal RNA is filed under the name uncultured bacterium. RNAcentral's name for it is "bacterial SSU rRNA". It matches the Rfam family "Bacterial small subunit ribosomal RNA", at positions 791 to 1304 of the family's 1533-position model. The record is from RNAcentral.